CCCUUAGAUGUCCUGGGCCGCACGCGCGCUACAAUGACACAUGCAACAAGUUCUAUCCUGGCUCGGAAGAGUUUCGGGUAAUCUUUAUAAUGUGUGUCGUGCUGGGGAUCGAUCUUUGUAAUUAUGGAUCUUGAACGAGGAAUUCCUAGUAAGCAUAAGUCAUCAGCUUGUGCUGAUUACGUCCCUGCCCUUUGUACACACCGCCCGUCGCUACUACCGAUUGAAUGGUUUAGUGAGAUCUCUGGAUUGACGCUGGCUAGGGGGCGACCCUUGGCCAGACUGCUCGAGAAACUGCUCAAACUUGAUCAUUUAGAGGAAGUAAAAGUCGUAACA
This 333-nucleotide ribosomal RNA is filed under the name uncultured eukaryote. RNAcentral's name for it is "partial 18S ribosomal RNA". It matches the Rfam family "Eukaryotic small subunit ribosomal RNA", at positions 1470 to 1796 of the family's 1831-position model. The record is from RNAcentral.